This 256-nucleotide ribosomal RNA is filed under the name uncultured bacterium. RNAcentral describes it as "partial 16S ribosomal RNA". It matches the Rfam family "Bacterial small subunit ribosomal RNA", at positions 1246 to 1500 of the family's 1533-position model. The record is from RNAcentral.
AAAGCGAAACCGCGAGGAGGAGCAAAACCCAAAAAAGACAGUCUCAGUUCGGAUUGAAGGCUGAAAUUCGCCUUCAUGAAGCCGGAAUUGCUAGUAAUGGCAGGUCAGCAUACUGCCGUGAAUACGUUCCCGGGCCUUGUACACACCGCCCGUCACACCAUGAGAGUUGGGAAUACCCGAAGCCUGUGAGCUAACUGUAAAGAGGCAGCAGUCGAAGGUAGAAUCAAUGAUUGGGGUGAAGUCGUAACAAGGUAUC